CCUACGGGAGGCAGCAGUGAGGAAUAUUGGUCAAUGGACGAGAGUCUGAACCAGCCAAGUAGCGUGAAGGAUGACUGCCCUAUGGGUUGUAAACUUCUUUUAUAUGGGAGUAAAAUGUUCCACGUGUGGGAUUUUGUAUGUACCAUAUGAAUAAGGAUCGGCUUACUCCGUGCCAGCAGCCGCGGGUAUAAAGAGGAGCCGGCCGUUAUCCUGAUUUAUUGGGUUUAAAGGGAGCGUAGGUGGAUUGUUAAGGCAGUUGGGAAAGUUUAGGGCGCAACCGUAAAAUUGCAGUUUAAACUGGAAGUCUUGAGUACAGUAGAGGUGGGCGGAAUUCGUGGUGUAGCGGUGAAAGGCUUAGAUAUCACGAAGAACUCCGAUUGCGAAGGCAGUUCACUGGACUGCAACUGACACUGAGGCUCGAAAGUGUGGGUAUCAAACAGGAUUAGAUACCCUUGUAGUC
Molecule: ribosomal RNA, 460 nt
Filed under: uncultured bacterium
Lineage: Bacteria
Description: partial 16S ribosomal RNA
Rfam family: Bacterial small subunit ribosomal RNA
Source: RNAcentral